RNAcentral lists this ribosomal RNA (431 nucleotides) under uncultured bacterium. RNAcentral describes it as "partial 16S ribosomal RNA". It matches the Rfam family "Bacterial small subunit ribosomal RNA", at positions 29 to 507 of the family's 1533-position model. The record is from RNAcentral.
AACGAACGCUGGCGGCAGGCCUAACACAUGCAAGUCGAGCGCCCUUUCGGGGGAGCGGCGGACGGGUGAGUAUCGCGUGGGAAUAUGCCCUUCUCUACGGAAUAGCCUCGGGAGACUGAGAGUAAUACCGUAUACGCCCUGUGGGGGAAAGAUUUAUCGGGGAAGGAUUAGCCCGCGUUGGAUUAGGUAGUUGGUGGGGUAAUGGCCUACCAAGCCGACGAUCCAUAGCUGGGUUGAGAGGAUGAUCAGCCACACUGGGACUGAGACACGGCCCAGACUCCUACGGGAGGCAGCAGUGGGGAAUCUUGGACAAUGGGGGCAAGCCUGAUCUAGCCAUGCCGCGUGAGUGAUGAAGGCCUUAGGGUUGUAAAGCUCUUUCAGCUGGGAAGAUAAUGACGGUACCGGCAGAAGAAGCCCCGGCUAACUCCGUG